Balaenoptera musculus (blue whale) is the source of this 4924-nucleotide long non-coding RNA. RefSeq lists it as uncharacterized. Lineage: Eukaryota; Metazoa; Chordata; Mammalia; Artiodactyla; Balaenopteridae. The transcript is spliced from 5 exons. The record is from RefSeq and is a predicted model, not a curated record.
UUUGUUUGUCUUAGGACCUGCAUAGUGCCUAGCACAGUGUCUGACAGGUAACAGGCACCCAAACUUUGAAGGAAGGAAAGAAGGAAUGAAAGAAUGGAGGUAGUGAAAUGGCAGAACAAUCCCUGAUGCUAACGGAAUUGAAGGCAGGGGGUCAGUCAGGAGCCGGCUAGCCUGGCCCUGCACUAGCCAGGCCCUGCCCUGUUCCCCACUCCCUGCACUCUGGGAGUCCCGGGCCCACUUGCCUGCUUCUCAUUAUCCCCUUGGUUCCUGCAUGAGGUCCCAUCAGAGACCAAAGCAGAGGCAGUGUCAGUUCCUUUGCUGCAAGGGGAAAGCAGAGGAGGAUGUGCCCUUCACUCCAACUGUCCAGGCUACACAGAGGGAAAAUGACCCCUGCUGUCUAAGUUGGAUCCUUGACUGCAUUUUUCCCGAACUCAUAUUCCUGGACAUAGCAGUUAGGUUCGCUAGUACUACUACCACUGUAUUCCAGACAGAUUUUUGGCCAAACAAAAUUUUGAGGGUUGGCUUGGGGACCUAAACACCUUCUGUAACAAUCUUUUUCUAAGAAAAUGCUUUUGUGAUUUCUAAUGCUGUGUUGUAGACUUUCCAAAGCUAAAUAUAAACUGCUUGUAUUGCAUGCUCCCUAUGGCCUGUACUCUUGGCCCAGGAAAAACACUUGAGGCAAGGACUGUGCCUCCUUGGAAUCCUCUACUAAGAGCUGUACAAAGGCCGUGCCUUGCUCAUCAAUGUGUGUUAAGAGGCUAGUAAGUGAAUUUGGGUGUCUAAUCUGAUCUUGCCCACAGCAAUUUUGGAAAGUUUUGACCAUGAAUGCAAAGGGCCAUCUCUGUCAUGCUGCCUCACACCCAAGGUUUCUAUAACUUAACUCAAGCCUUUCACCGCAGAGAAGACACUGCAGACCGUGAACUCCAGUCCGUUCAGGAAGGGAGAUCUCAUUACCCAUGGCCCACAGCCCGGACUAUCAGCCUCCCAUCAGGAGCAGCUUGAAUGGCACUGGCUCACCCUGAACUUCUGCAUUUGGCUUGUGGCCCGGAGGGGAGACUUUGCAUGUUUGACUUUCUUGAGCUCUUCACACAUUUGUCUUUAACUAGUACACUGCUGGUGCGCUUGGGAGAAAUUACCUUUGAGCAUUUCACCUUAACUGAUCUUUUUUCCCCUGGCUUUUCUUUUUAGCCGUUUGCUGCCUUAUUUUCAGCCUUCACCACAGAAUUUGACUGGUGCAUUCAACGUUCAACUUCCUUUUUUUUUUUUUUUUUUGCAUUGACAUUGCUGUUCUUCACGCCCCUUUGGUUUGCAGCAUACCCUUUUCGCCCUAAUUUUGCUCAGUUUCCAUUGUAAAAGCUGCAUUUCCUCUCCAGUCUAUCAUCACCUCUGUAAACAACAAGUCUGGAUGUGUGUCCAGAUGAGCCCCAGAGAUCUCCUCCAGGCCUCUGCACGCAGAGUGCUUGCGUGCUUAAUAUCCGCAAAGCCACCUUCGCUGCCUUGAGCGAGGAGACGCAGAGUCAGGCACGGCAGCAACGGAUGUUCAUCCUCCCAAAACGGUAUCAGGCAACAUGUUUGGCCACUACAGUUGUCUCACAGUAGCUAAUUCAGAAGCCAGCUCUGGCUGCCGUGCAUCCUUAAUGGGAAAUGCCUCCAGUCCUACGCUUGCAAUCAGGUCAACCAAAGGUUCACUUCCCAGCACAUUUGGAAGAAUGGUCUUCUUUUUAAAAGUUGGAAAAACUGAGUCAGAGAGAGGUGAAGAUGAAGUUUACACAUCUGUCAGCACCAUCAUGUCUCUUGUCUGUAAUGGUGAAUGGGAUAGACAAGAUUUCUAGAAACAUGUAUUUCAUAAAUGUGGACAAAUUAUUAAGGAAAAAUAUAUUAAUGUGAAAUAAUUUAACAGAUGAAUUACAUGUAAUUUGCAUUUUUUGCAAGUAAAUAAUAGUAAUAUCUAUUUGCUUAGCCUUAUACAGCUAAAAAAUGUUUCCCAUAUAUGAGCUUAGAAAAAGCUCUUAACGUGCAUGAAUAUGGGCAUUCUCUGUUCACAGAAUGAUAAAUAGAGUCAUAGAGCGUGUCUGGGCCAAAGUUCCCGGGCGAGUGGGUGCCAGAAUCAGGACUAAAACCCUGCCUUCUAACCAGAGACCAGCUCCUCUUUAUUCCCUCCUGCUGCUGUGAGCAGGAAGGGGAUACAGGAACUUCAUGUCGAGAGCCUGGAUUAAGUGACAUUUCACUUCAUGGGGAAGUCUUCCUAGAGGCAUUUGAGAAGUUCUAGGGAACCUUGCUAUUUUGAGACAAUAUGUUUUCUUCAAACCAAGGAACACCAUUUGAGGACGUUUAGUGAAUGAAGUUCUGGGGAAAGCCCAGUGGUAGCAGGAGUGGUGGUGGAGGACUUUCCCCACUUGUCAUCUUCCAUUUACAUUUAGAUAAGGCCUGGUGGAGAACUGUAUAGCCAGUUGCAGGAUAAGUUUGAGUUGGUGUGAUCUGAAACGCAGCCAGUUCCUCUCUUUCUAAAAGGCAGAGGCACGGUAUCUAAGACUGGUAUCUUGAAAUGUAUGUGAGAACCUUCUAGCCCUGAGAGUUCCCAUCAGGCUAGGAGGUCACAGCUCUUCUAACAUGAACCGCAGCUCCGCAAUCAGUAUAAAAGUCUACAAUUACGACCAUUCUUUGGAAUCCUCUCAGCCAACAAGGACAUUCCUUGGCUGGCUUAGAAAAACCAGUGCAGAUUUGCACUGGGAAAGGAAUGCAGUCUGGAAGAAUGGCCAAUGAUUUACAGAUUAAGUCUCCUAUUAACUAAGAAAGAAUAAGGAAAGGAGGUUUAAAAACCAUUCUGCCACCGCUGCGAAAAUGUUUACAGGAGAAGCAGCGUGAGUGAGAAGGUGGGGAGGUGGCAGAAGCGCUGAAUGGGACACAGAAUUGAAUGGUGGAACCAGGAGUGACCUGGCAUCGUCAUCGGGAUCCCUUAGGUCUUCAUAGCAGUUGUGACUUUCCGAGAUGAUUCAGUACUUACUAUCUCAAUGGGUUAAAAAUUAUAAAAGACUCGGUGGGUUCAGGCAGAGAGGCACCAUUUCCAUCUUAGAUAAAGACACUGAGUUUCGGCGAGGUUAGGCGUUUUAUCCAGGCAAGUCCGAAGUGGCUGAGCAGCCUCCCGAUUUCGAGGCCUGAUUUCUGAUGGCCACUAGGCGCCUGCCUCACCGCAGAAGGAGAAAGUCUUGACCCAUAACCUGGGGAAACGGGAUUGCCCGAGUGAGGCGUGAGGAGGUGGAGUUUCUCUAACUGCUCCUCAGAGAAGGAUGCUGAGUGAGGAAGACAAUGGCUGGCAGGCCUGGUGCCAGGGACUCUGGGAGGAAGGGGCUGGAGAGGUCCAGGAGAAACAUGGGCAGGAACUGGACUGAGACAGCGUUUGAAAGAUGAACGGGGAGAUGGAAGUUUGGAGAUGGAAAGGAAAAGGCAAGCUGCAGCAGUUGACAACGGAAAGGCAACGGCCUGUGGAAAAUAACUCAGAGACUUCCUGCUUCUGAAGCCAGUGCUAUGCUGUCAUAGCCCACUGCUCCUGGCAGAGCUUGGUUUGGAGCAAGAUCAGCUGAUGUGUUCAGCAGUCAAGCCCCACUUUGGGAGACUCAGUGCCUGAGCCCAGGUCAGAAAAAAAAUAUGCAGAUAAUGGAUGUUCCUCACCCUAAGGAGCUGGAUCUGAGGCAAUAAUGUAAUAAAUACUCGUUGAUCGCUCAGAAGUCAUCCUACCUGCAUUCUAAUCCCAGCUCUAGCAUUUAAUAUUUUGGAUGAACUGUGUGACUUUACUGGGCCUGGUUUUCCCCUCUGUUAAACUAGAAAAGAGGGGGCAUUGACUAGAUUAGCUUGGCUUUUUUAAGUUAGAGACCUCUUUGAGAUUUCGGUGAACACUAUGAACUUACUGCAUGUGAAAAUGCACCAGCAUCAAAAGUAAUAAAAUAAUUACACUCAGCAAAAGAAAUGCAAGAUUUAUACACUAAAAAACUUUAAAACUGUAGUUUGAAGUGAGGUUCUGCCAGAUUCUGAACCCAGGUUUAAGAAAUUGGCAGCUUCCAUUUCCUGUGUCUUGGAGCAUUUAUUCUUAGAAGCCCUCCGCCACGCUGUGAGGAAGCACAAGCUGUCCUACAGAGAAAUCUACAUGGAGAAGAGCCAAGGCCUCCCAGCUACAGCCCCCUGUGAGCUCCUGGCUGAUGGCCAGCACAGACUUGACAGACACGUCAGUGAGCCAUCUUGGAAACUGGAUCCAGGCCCAGAUGAGCUGCCCCAGCUGAUGACUCCUGAGCAGAGAGACAGAAAAUAUGAAUGGGUCUCCUGGGAAAAGAGGGUUUGUGUUCUUUGCAAGUUAAGCACCUCACCAAUGGAUCAACUCACUAGGUCACUGAUUACCCUCAAGAAGCUGAUCAAAGGCCCGACAACCACAGUGCCCGCCAGCAGCAAAGGGAAAGACCACUGAAUGAAGGAUUUGAUGAAGACCACAUGUCUUAUGCCAUCUGGGAACUUUAUAUUGACUCAGGUUUCUAGAACUAAUCUGUAAUUUGCUUGUGGAAAGGCUGGAUGGAUUGCAUUGUAUACAUUUUACUACAGAGGGUAGUAAGAACUAUCUUGGUUGAGAAAAAUAAAAGGAAAUAUCUUUCUGUGAUCUUCCAUGUUUCACUGUCAAAAACUCUAAGGAAAGAAGAUCAGUGGUGCAUAGAUUGGCUGUCCAAAUAAACUUAAAAAAUCUCCUCAAGUAAGAAGAGAGAUAAAUGUUACCUUGAAAACUUGAUCAACUCAAAUACAUACAGACUAGGAAGCAUUACAGGCUUCAAUUGAAAUACUGUGUAUAUGUGUGACAGUUUCAUACCUUGGUACUCGUACUUAGGAUAGAAUAUGGAAGAAUCGCCAAAAAAUCAUCAAAUGAAGGCUGACUCAAAACCAGGAU